UACAGAGGGUGCAAGCGUUAAUCGGAAUUACUGGGCGUAAAGCGUGCGUAGUCGGUUAUCUAAGUCGGGUGUGAAAUCCCCGGGCUCAACCUGGGAAUUGCAUUCGAUACUGGAUAGCUAGAGUUCGGCAGAGGGAAGCGGAAUUUCGGGUGUAGCGGUGAAAUGCGUAGAUAUCUGGAGGAACACCGGUGGCGAAGGCGGCAUCCUGGACCGGUAUUGACGCUGAGGCGCGAAAGCCAGGGGAGCAAACGGG
RNAcentral lists this ribosomal RNA (253 nucleotides) under uncultured bacterium. RNAcentral describes it as "partial 16S ribosomal RNA". It matches the Rfam family "Bacterial small subunit ribosomal RNA", at positions 524 to 776 of the family's 1533-position model. The record is from RNAcentral.